This 301-nucleotide ribosomal RNA is filed under the name uncultured bacterium. RNAcentral describes it as "partial 16S ribosomal RNA". It matches the Rfam family "Bacterial small subunit ribosomal RNA", at positions 509 to 807 of the family's 1533-position model. The record is from RNAcentral.
CAGUCGCCACGGGAAUACGUAGGUGGCAAGCGCUGUCCGGAAUUAUUGGGCGUAAAGGGUGCGUAGGCGGCUUGACAAGUCUUGUGUGAAAUCUAUGGGCUCAACCCAUAGUCUGCACGGGAAACUGUCGGGCUUGAGAAUGGGAGAGGUGAGUGGAAUUUCCGGUGUAGCGGUGAAAUGCGUAGAUAUCGGAAGGAACACCUGUGGCGAAAGCGGCUCACUGGACCAUUUCUGACGCUGAUGCACGAAAGCUAGGGGAGCAAACAGGAUUAGAUACCCCAGUAGUCCCUGUCUCUUAUAC